Molecule: ribosomal RNA, 465 nt
Filed under: uncultured bacterium
Lineage: Bacteria
Description: partial 16S ribosomal RNA
Rfam family: Bacterial small subunit ribosomal RNA
Source: RNAcentral
GACGAACGCUGGCGGCGUGCUUAACACAUGCAAGUCGAACGGAAAGGCCCUGCUUGCAGGGUACUCGAGUGGCGAACGAGUGAGUAACACGUGGGUGAUCUGCCCUGCACUUCGGGAUAAGCCUGGGAAACUGGGUCUAAUACCGGAUAUGACCUUCCAUGUAGUGUGGGGGGUGGAAAGAUUUAGCGGUGUGGGAUGAGCCCGCGGCCUAUGCGCUUGUUGGUGGGGUAAUGGCCUACCAAGGCGUCGACGGGUAGCCGGCCUGGGAGGGUGGACGGCCACAUUGGGACUGAGAGACGGCCCAGACUCCAACGGGAGGCAGCAGUGGGGAAUAUUGCACAAUGGGCGGAAGCCUUAUGCAGCGACGCCGCGUGGGGGAUGACGGCCUUCGGGUUGUAAACCUCUUUCGACAGGGACGAAGCUUCGGUGACGGUACCUGUAUAAGAAGCACCGGCUAACUACGUG